RNAcentral lists this ribosomal RNA (705 nucleotides) under Bacillus sp. MMRF632. RNAcentral's name for it is "bacterial SSU rRNA". It matches the Rfam family "Bacterial small subunit ribosomal RNA", at positions 342 to 1038 of the family's 1533-position model. The record is from RNAcentral. Lineage: Bacteria; Bacillati; Bacillota; Bacilli; Caryophanales; Bacillaceae.
CGGGAGGCAGCAGUAGGGAAUCUUCCGCAAUGGACGAAAGUCUGACGGAGCAACGCCGCGUGAGUGAUGAAGGUUUUCGGAUCGUAAAGCUCUGUUGUUAGGGAAGAACAAGUGCAAGAGUAACUGCUUGCACCUUGACGGUACCUAACCAGAAAGCCACGGCUAACUACGUGCCAGCAGCCGCGGUAAUACGUAGGUGGCAAGCGUUGUCCGGAAUUAUUGGGCGUAAAGGGCUCGCAGGCGGUUUCUUAAGUCUGAUGUGAAAGCCCCCGGCUCAACCGGGGAGGGUCAUUGGAAACUGGGAAACUUGAGUGCAGAAGAGGAGAGUGGAAUUCCACGUGUAGCGGUGAAAUGCGUAGAGAUGUGGAGGAACACCAGUGGCGAAGGCGACUCUCUGGUCUGUAACUGACGCUGAGGAGCGAAAGCGUGGGGAGCGAACAGGAUUAGAUACCCUGGUAGUCCACGCCGUAAACGAUGAGUGCUAAGUGUUAGGGGGUUUCCGCCCCUUAGUGCUGCAGCUAACGCAUUAAGCACUCCGCCUGGGGAGUACGGUCGCAAGACUGAAACUCAAAGGAAUUGACGGGGGCCCGCACAAGCGGUGGAGCAUGUGGUUUAAUUCGAAGCAACGCGAAGAACCUUACCAGGUCUUGACAUCCUCUGACAACCCUAGAGAUAGGGCUUUCCCUUCGGGGACAGAGUGACAGG